GACGAACGCUGGCGGCGUGCUUAACACAUGCAAGUCGAACGGAAAGGCCCUGCUUUUGUGGGGUGCUCGAGUGGCGAACGGGUGAGUAACACGUGAGUAACCUGCCCUUGACUUUGGGAUAACUUCAGGAAACUGGGGCUAAUACCGGAUAGGAGCUCCUGCUGCAUGGUGGGGGUUGGAAAGUUUCGGCGGUUGGGGAUGGACUCGCGGCUUAUCAGCUUGUUGGUGGGGUAGUGGCUUACCAAGGCUUUGACGGGUAGCCGGCCUGAGAGGGUGACCGGCCACAGUGGGACUGAAAAACGGCCCAAAACCCUAGGGGAGGCAGGAGUGGGGAAUAUUGCAAAAGGGGCGGAAGCCGGAUGCAGCAACGCCGGGGGGGGGAUGACGGCCUUGGGGUUGUAAACCGCUUUCGCCUGUGACGAAGGGUGGGUGACGGUAAUGGGGAAAGAAGCACCGGCUAACUACGU
Molecule: ribosomal RNA, 467 nt
Filed under: uncultured bacterium
Lineage: Bacteria
Description: partial 16S ribosomal RNA
Rfam family: Bacterial small subunit ribosomal RNA
Source: RNAcentral